GACGAACGCUGGCGGCGUGCCUAAUACAUGCAAGUAGAACGCUGAAGGAGGAGCUUGCUCUUCUGGAUGAGUUGCGAACGGGUGAGUAACGCGUAGGUAACCUGCCUGGUAGCGGGGGAUAACUAUUGGAAACGAUAGCUAAUACCGCAUAAAAUUGAUUAUUGCAUGAUAGUCAAUUAAAAGGUGCAAUUGCAUCACUACCAGAUGGACCUGCGUUGUAUUAGCUAGUUGGUGAGGUAACGGCUCACCAAGGCAACGAUACAUAGCCGACCUGAGAGGGUGAUCGGCCACACUGGGACUGAGACACGGCCCAGACUCCUACGGGAGGCAGCAGUAGGGAAUCUUCGGCAAUGGACGGAAGUCUGACCGAGCAACGCCGCGUGAGUGAAGAAGGUUUUCGGAUCGUAAAGCUCUGUUGUAAGAGAAGAACGAGUGUGAGAGCGGAAAGUUCACACUGUGACGGUAUCUUACCAGAAAGGGACGGCUAACUACGUG
Molecule: ribosomal RNA, 495 nt
Filed under: uncultured bacterium
Lineage: Bacteria
Description: partial 16S ribosomal RNA
Rfam family: Bacterial small subunit ribosomal RNA
Source: RNAcentral